CAAUAUCAAAAUACUUCCAUUAAAUGAUGAAGCAAAAAUCAUCAACGAAAUCCUACGUCGAGGAAAGAAGCAACAGCCAGUUGUGCGAUAGCCGAUCAAAGAGGUUUAACUUCUCAACAAAUUCUUCAAUGUCAAAUACUGUCUGAGUGAUAUAAGUCAUGACUUCUAAACAGAAUUGAUAAUAUCAGUGUAAAGGUAACAGGGUGGUAGAAGGGGAUCAAUUCCGUUAUUGAAAAAUCCUGAUUACGAGAACCCGAUUUCGUGGAAAAACGUCGCCGUAAUAAUGUAAAAUAGAAAAAGGAUUAUGAUGGCCAAGCCAGGGCCGAAAAACUGUCUCGUGUGAUUGUCACACUUUUUGGAGCAGUUGGCCUUGUUUGGGGAUACACGAUACAGCAGUUUUCACAAACUAUUUACAUUCUCGGAGCUGGUUUUGUCCUAGCUGGAAUAGUUACUGUACCCCCAUGGUCGAUGUAUCGCCGCAAGCCUCUUGAUUGGCAGAAACCUCAACCAGAAGUCCCCACAAAGUUCAAGAAGAAGAAAUAAUAACCAUUGGAAGUGGAAUAAAAGAAUUAAUAUCUAUUAGCUGUCAGUUUUAUUUUUCUGAGUCAAAAAGUACCGAGGUAUACAUCACAGAAUCACUGAAUCGCAAUGCUGAUUCUGACACUGCAGCGUUCCUUUGAAUAUAUCUGUGUGCCUGUACCACCGCUGCCUAUGUUUCUACUACAAUGAAAAAGCUCUUGACACUAUUAUAAUAUUGACUUAUAGCUACGUCCGUGUACAUACUACGUAUGUACGUA
Molecule: unclassified non-coding RNA, 797 nt
Filed under: Athalia rosae (coleseed sawfly)
Lineage: Eukaryota; Metazoa; Arthropoda; Insecta; Hymenoptera; Athaliidae
Description: misc RNA ENSAEAG00005007911.1
Source: RNAcentral